GAUGAACGCUGGCGGCGUGCCUAAUACAUGCAAGUCGAGCGAACGGACGAGAAGCUUGCUUUUCUGAUGUUAGCGGCGGACGGGUGAGUAACACGUGGAUAACCUACCUGUGAGUCUGGGAUCACUUCGGGAAACCGGAGCUAAUACCGGAUAAUAUUUUGAACCGCAUGGUUCAAAAGUGAAAGACGGUCUUGCUGUCACUUAUAGAUGGAUCCGCGCUGCAUUAGCUAGUUGGUAAGGUAACGGCUUACCAAGGCAACGAUGCAUAGCCGACCUGAGAGGGUGAUCGGCCACACUGGAACUGAGACACGGUCCAGACUCCUACGGGAGGCAGCAGUAGGGAAUCUUCCGCAAUGGGCGAAAGCCUGACGGAGCAACGCCGCGUGAGUGAUGAAGGUCUUCGGAUCGUAAAACUCUGUUAUUAGGGAAGAACAUAUGUGUAAGUAACUGUGCACAUCUUGACGGUACCUAAUCAGAAAGCCACGGCUAACUACGUG
RNAcentral lists this ribosomal RNA (497 nucleotides) under uncultured bacterium. RNAcentral describes it as "partial 16S ribosomal RNA". It matches the Rfam family "Bacterial small subunit ribosomal RNA", at positions 28 to 507 of the family's 1533-position model. The record is from RNAcentral.